This is a non-coding RNA of Oryctolagus cuniculus (rabbit), 5041 nucleotides long. Lineage: Eukaryota; Metazoa; Chordata; Mammalia; Lagomorpha; Leporidae. The record is from RefSeq and is a predicted model, not a curated record.
UCUCAACCUACCAGAAGUUCACAGUUUUUCUCUUGAAAGAACAGGUUGCUGUCCUGUUGACCAAGCUGCUCUUGUGGACCUCUCCCCAUUAAAGUACUUUGGAUACCAGCUUGAAGACUUUUGUCCUGAAAUGAUAUGCGUUAGUGGAAGCUGAAUUGGAAGCAGAGGAUUCAGGAGAGGAUCCAGAUUGUCAUGUGAUCAUUUGUCUGCACCUGCCAUGACCAGCCCCGAAGAUGCCACACUACAGGCCACCCAAUCCUGAACUUUAACCACAAACUAUAAAAUUACGAACACCAUCUUCAUCCUGGCGUCAGUCUGCAGAGGGAGUCACUCUCAUCUGCCCUUCAUCCUCACUGGUUCUUUGGCAACACAUUUCAUGGUCUGCAAAUCUCCUUUAGGAGCCUGAGCAGAAUAGACAGGACAAAGCUUGAGUAAAGAUUCGUCUGCAUACAAGACAGCUAUGUUCCAGGUUAAGAACCUACAACAAAGACCCAGAAGCCAAGAAUGCAGACAAAGUGGGUACACCAGCAGGAAGCUGGAUCAGAAGUGGAGUUGCCAGGAUUCAAAGUGGUGCCCACAUGGGAUGCUGGUGUUGUAGACAGCAGCCUUACUUGCUACACCACAACACUGGCCCCUUGACUCCUAGUCUUAAAGAGGGAUCCUUCUGAUGUUUGGUAAAGUCCUCAUGACAUGUGAGCCAGCGUCAGCUCUACUGUGAGGAGCCGAAGCACCAUAACGAGGCACGGGACCAGCCCUCGACGCCAGGGAAAGGCAGAAGCAGAAAGCACAGCAGGAGCUGUAAAGGGGAGCGAAAACCCACAGGAGCAGGGAACUCUGGGAUCAGCCGUCUCUCUGGCCAGAACUCCCUGCCAAAUCUAGACUUCGGGAGUUUGGGUUUUCCUGUGGUGGAUCAUGGGUUCCAUGUGGCUGGAAACACUGAACUGAAGUUCAGUCAUUUCUUCACUGCAGUUUCCUGACUUCCUUGAUACGCGGAUACACACUGUGAAUCUUCAAUAGAAGUCACUUCCCAGUAGUUUCUCCAAGCAUUUUAUCAGCAAGGACGCUCUCUCUGACCUCAGUGCUCCAGCACACUUUGGGCGGCUCCACUGUGAGGAGUUGUUCUGGGUGCUAUUCCUUGUGUGAUUGGCCUGCUCCAUGAAAUAGUUAACAAAGAGCCUAAAGAGCAGUCCCUUUCCAUAAAGAAUUCAGUCCUCUUUCCAGGUUGCAAAGAAGAGAUACAUACAAGUGGCUUCAGCUGAGAUGGAGAAGUGACUUGUUCAGAACGGGCCAUUUCCCUUUUCACUGCGACCUGGGGCGGGCCUAUCUUCUUUCAGGAGGCGACUGCAGCUGCAAAGAACUCAUCAGGAAAGGAUGUUCAGUGGAAACUUCCCAAACUGGACGGCAAAGAGGAAAAGGACUGUGAAGAACAGUGUGGGCUAUUGAGCCAUGGUGGACCCGCACAGAAAGUGGAAUGUCCAUGUGACGGCAAAACCAGGAGAAGGAAGAGACAAAGUCCCAUUUUACAGAUGAGAGCAAUGAGACUUGGGCAACUUGUUCAACUUGCUGAAGGGCCUAGAGCUAGAACAGGAAUAGGAGAUGCAGAAUGGACAUGCCUGCCUUGCUUUUCCUGGCCUCCGCCCUCUCCUCCCACAUCUAGUCAUCUCGUCUCCUGAUUUACUCAAUACCAGUCACUUUUGUGGUGGGAAAAACAACUUGAAAGACUACUAAUUCAAAUCAAGUGCUUCAGGCUUAAAUACCCAAUUUGCACGCCACAGCAGACAUUGCAGACUGAUCACAGGUGUUUCCUAUCGAGCCUGCACGCAGCCCCAGAAUCCUCUCGGCGUAAGACGUGGCCUGUUUGCCAUUUCUCCAUCAGGAGAUUAGAGCUUCUUUCUACUUUGUCUCGGGGUACGGCUGCAUGGCUUCCAGGUAAGCCAUUCAAUUCCUCUGCACCUCUAUACAUCUGUAACAGGAGGCUCAUGGCUUCCCCGACUGUCCUACACAGCCGUUAGGGGGAGCUGGUUUGAAGGUUGAAAUAGAGCCAGGGCCCUCCAAGACGGUAGCAAGCGUUCCCAGGAUUCCUAACAGAGAAAGUAGUGUGCUUGCCUGGUUAGCACAGAGAAGAGCCAAUACUGAAAGGACUUUCUUCUAAGGAGAAGGAAGACAGAGAAGGAAGCAAAGCGGGAGGACGCGGCUUGGCGUCAGAGGCAGUGGGUUCGAGUCUCGCUUCUGCCUCUUGGCAGUUGGGGUUGGGUGGGGAUGUGUUAGUAAGCUGGGCAGGACACGACUCCACCAUCCAACAGGGCAGACCAAGUCCGCCUCGGGGGCCACUGAAAGUGUGGAGGGAGUUCAUGCCUGCAAGAGGGCCGAGUGCAUGGCCAGGCCCAAGUAGGGACUCAGUGGGCUCCAUAGCUUGGAGCCGGCCGCAUCUUCCACAGCACAGAGAACUGGGUUUUGCUCUUCUCCUCCAUCUCCACAGUGCAUGCCCACUUGACUGAGCAGGAAGUGUGUGUUGUGUCACUGAACGUUUUUAUGACCUUCAGGCCCCCGCGAGGGGAGAGGACCACAGUGCAUGACGAGAUUGAGCUGCUCCCCAGCGCCCAACUUGCCCCCUAGUUCUAGCCCUUUUAGCUUGGAGUCUUGCAGGUAUUUCUGCUUACAUGUCUGAUUCUUCAGCUCUGGGGUGGGGCUUCCCUGAGCUUACAGGCAGCUGUGAGCAACGAUGCGUGCAGGUGUGCCGGGCACAGGGCAAGAGGCUGGGAGGCGUGAAAAGCACCGCUGAGGUUCCUAUCAGUGAGCCAGGGGCUCUGGAAUGUUCUGUCGGGCUCCUUUCUGCAUGCCCAAGCCCUACUCAUCCUUGUCGGGCCACCUCAACAUCCUACCCUCCUGGGAGGCCCUGUGGGGCUUCAUCCCCCCCUGUCUCUUGCUGCACUGGUCAGCUCUGGAGCUUGAGUUAGUCACACCUGUGUGCAGACAAGCCUUCACCUUUUGUUAUUCUUACACCUCCGGUUUGGGCUCCAGGCACUGACCUCUGUGUCCUCUGUGACCUCUGUGUCACACUCUGUGCUUGCCUCUAGACAACUCCCGUUGAUCAACCCAGGGUCUGCUGCCCUGAUCCCUGACCCCUGACAGGUGGAUGCACCUGUGAGCACAGGCACUUUGGCCACCUGCAGUGCGAUCCUUCGGUCCUCUGCCUUCUGCUUAGUCGGUCAGUUCUGCCGCGGUGGACUUGUCUGGGCUCCUCCUGCUGUGUCCCAGGCAUCUAAAGCCGGGACGAGAACGUGAGAGGUGCUCACAUGUCUGUCAGCUAACUGUAAGUUCUCCUUUCCAGACACUGAGCUCCUUGGGAAUGGGGCCUGUAACUGCUAAGUUCUUGAACCCUCUGCUGCAUAUAUCACAGUGCAUAGGCUAGUGCUAGGUGCUCAGUAAAUAAAUGCUUGAUCACUAAUGAAGUGCAUGUCUUGUGAGAUGGACUGGUCUCAGUCAAGACUACAAAAGCGAGGGAUGAUGUGCUGAGUAUCUUCUAGAUCCCCCUGCUGCUGGCAUGCUCUCUAUGCAUGCACACUGCUUGGUAUUCAGGAGGCUGACCCUUGAGAGACUGGCGUGACGGGUUGGUUUGCCCUCUGGUUGGAUGCAAUCCAUGGAGUCACCAGUAGAGGGAGAGAGGAGAGUGAAGUCAAACUGUUGCUCCUCAUUAUUAGGGGAUCCUGUAUUUGCAAAUUGGUCUACUUGCUAAAAUCCAUUUGUAACCUUGAAACCAAUACUCGGGACACCUUUGUGGUCAUUCACCGACACGUUGAGAAGAGAAAUGUCACGUGAUGUGCAUGUGCCCCCUAGCUGCAACUGGACAAGGUGACACUCUGCCGCCCUGUUUCAGCUCUCACACUGAGAAAUGUUCUUUGCAUGGUCUAUUUAGCGUCCUAUUUUUCACACUUUGUGCUUUUCAACAGUGAUUGAAAAUGGCCCCCAGGAGUAGGAAUGAAAUUAAUGAAGUGCUACCUCAGGUUCCUAAUCCCAAAAAGGCUGUGAUGUGCUGUAGGGAGAAAAUAAGGUGUGUUAUGUGAGCUUCAGUCAAGCAUGCGUUACAGUGCUGUUGGCCGUGAAUUAGCGUUAUACAUUAAGUAAGGUGUCUUAAAGCAGAAACACACGUGACACGGGUUGUGUAUUCAUAGGUGUGGGCAUGUGACCAGAGACUCCCAGGGCCCUACCCUUGUACUUCGCCUAGGAGCAGUUGUUCAGUAAUCACUAAUUCAGCAUUUACAGCAACUCUACAGAAGGUAACUACAAUGAACAGCAAGAAUUGACUAUUGAUCCUGCAGGCUGGCUUCUACCUAAUGGGUUGGCAUUGGCUUGGCUCCAUCUACAAGAGGCCACAGGUUCAAAGAGUGCGGCUUCUCCAGAGCUACAGCUGUUGUCUUGGGAGCUCCCUCUCCUCAUUCCCUUAGGCCUCAGGAUGGCGAUAGGUACCCAUCAAUGUCAGCCUACAUGCUGUAUCCCCGCAUCCUGCCCAUACCUUUGUCAGUAGUCCCUUCCUUAAAGUCUUUUUUACCCCACUUUUAAAUGUACCAUCUGUUUCCUCCUCAGAAUUCUGACUAAUCCGGAUAGUUUAUGGAAAAUUCUAGCUGUUCUUUCUAGCACCUAGAAACAGACAUAAGCAUGGCCUCCUCUCCUCCCCCCGGCCCCAGUCAGCCUGACUGAAGGACACAUUGUCCUAACUCUGGUGCAGUUCUGCUCUGCGUGGUCCCCUGACUCACAGCACAGUCAUCCCUUGGGAGCUUGUUAGAAAUGCAGAUUGCUGGGGUAGGCAUUUGCUCCUGAGUCAAAGACCCAGCUUGGGGCACUGGCAUAUAGUAGGAGUAUGUGGAUUUGAAUCCCUGCUCUGCUUCCCGGUCAGCAUUCUGCUAAUGGGCACCCUGGGAGGCAGCAGGUGAUAGCUCAAGUACAUGGGUCCCCACCACCCAAGAGAGACAGAAUUCCUGGCUCCUGGCUUUGGUCUAAUUCAGCCUUAGAUGCUGUGGGUAUUGGAGAGGGAACCAGCAGA